Molecule: ribosomal RNA, 137 nt
Filed under: uncultured eukaryote
Lineage: Eukaryota
Description: partial 18S ribosomal RNA
Rfam family: Eukaryotic small subunit ribosomal RNA
Source: RNAcentral
UCGUGGGGUGACUUGUCUGCUUAAUUGCGAUAACGAACGAGACCUUAACCUGCUAAAUAGCCAGGCCAGCUUUGGCUGGUCGCCGGCUUCUUAGAGGGACUUUCGGCUCAAGCCGAAGGAAGUUUGAGGCAAUAACA